GAUGAACGCUGGCGGCGUGCCUAAUACAUGCAAGUCGAGCGAACAGACGGGGAGCUUGCUCCUCUGACGUUAGCGGCGGACGGGUGAGUAACACGUGGAUAACCUACCUAUAAGACUGGGAUAACUUCGGGAAACCGGAGCUAAUACCGGAUAAUAUAUUGAACCGCAUGGUUCAAUAGUGAAAGACGGUUUUGCUGUCACUUAUAGAUGGAUCCGCGCCGUAUUAGCUAGUUGGUAAGGUAACGGCUUACCAAGGCAACGAUGCGUAGCCGACCUGAGAGGGUGAUCGGCCACACUGGAACUGAGACACGGUCCAGACUCCUACGGGAGGCAGCAGUAGGGAAUCUUCCGCAAUGGGCGAAAGCUUGACGGAGCAACGCCGCGUGAGUGAUGAAGGUCCUCGGAUCGUAAAACUCUGUUAUUAGGGAAGAACAAAUGUGUAAGUAACUAUGCACGUCUUGACGGUACCUAAUCAGAAAGCCACGGCUAACUACGUG
This 497-nucleotide ribosomal RNA is filed under the name uncultured bacterium. Its description in RNAcentral is "partial 16S ribosomal RNA". It matches the Rfam family "Bacterial small subunit ribosomal RNA", at positions 28 to 507 of the family's 1533-position model. The record is from RNAcentral.